This 366-nucleotide small RNA is filed under the name Histoplasma capsulatum var. duboisii H88. RNAcentral's name for it is "Histoplasma capsulatum H88 hypothetical RNA". Lineage: Eukaryota; Fungi; Ascomycota; Eurotiomycetes; Onygenales; Ajellomycetaceae. The record is from RNAcentral.
AUGUUCUGUAUGUACAGAAUACAUAUGAUUAGUAGAGAAAACACUGUUAAAUUCAGAUAUAAAUGACUUCAUACACAGAAAAGUGGUAAAUUUUAUUGAUAUUCUGAUUAAAUAUACAUUCUGAUUUGCUGAGCUUCAUCUCUAUAAAGAAGCUACUGAUCUCAGACACUGUAUAAAAGUGUAAAUCAACAGUCUAAAUAUUAUGCACAGUCUAUACAACUAGAUCUAACUUUAUAAUAGAUAAAAAAAGAUUAUAUACACAUAUGUAUGAGUGAAUAUAAGUGUAAGAAUAUAGAAAACUAAUAAAGAAAAGCAAGAGCUUUGUAUAUACGCUAUUCAAUAAAAAUGAAAUUGUUGUAAUGGAGA